UAACAGGUGUAGCAAUACAUGCUGACGAGUGGCGCACGGGUGCGUAACGCGUAUGCAACCUACCUAUAACUGGGGAAUAGCCUUCUGAAAGGAAGAUUAACACCGCAUAACAUCAUGAAACGGCAUCGUUUUAUGAUCAAAUCUCCGGAGGUUAUAGAUGGGCAUGCGUGACAUUAGCUAGUUGGUGAGGUAACGGCUCACCAAGGCUACGAUGUCUAGGGGGUCUGAGAGGAUGAUCCCCCACACUGGUACUGAGACACGGACCAGACUCCUACGGGAGGCAGCAGUAAGGAAUAUUGGACAAUGGGCGCAAGCCUGAUCCAGCCAUGCCGCGUGAAGGAUGACGGCCCUCUGGGUUGUAAACUUCUUUUAUAUGGGAAUAAACCCCUGGUUUCUACCGGGGCUGAAUGUACCGUAAGAAUAAGGAUCGGCUAACUUCGUGCCAGCAGCCGCGGUAAUACGAAGGAUCCAAGCGUUAUCCGGAUUUAUUGGGUUUAAAGGGUGCGUAGGCGGACUAUUAAGUCAGUGGUGAAAGCCUGCAGCUUAACUGCAGAACUGCCAUUGAUACUGAUGGUCUUGAGUACAUUUGAGGUGGGCGGAAUGUGUCAUGUAGUGGUGAAAUACUUAGAUAUGACACAGAACUCCGAUUGCGAAGGCAGCUCACUAAACUGUAACUGACGCUGAGGCACGAAAGCGUGGGGAUCAAACAGGAUUAGAUACCCUGGUAGUCCACGCCCUAAACGAUGAUUACUCGAUGUGUGCGAUACACUGUACGCGUCUGAGCGAAAGCAUUAAGUAAUCCACCUGGGGAGUACGGCCGCAAGGCUG
Molecule: ribosomal RNA, 828 nt
Filed under: uncultured Sphingobacteriia bacterium
Lineage: Bacteria; Pseudomonadati; Bacteroidota; Sphingobacteriia
Description: bacterial SSU rRNA
Rfam family: Bacterial small subunit ribosomal RNA
Source: RNAcentral